RNAcentral lists this ribosomal RNA (830 nucleotides) under uncultured Bacteroidota bacterium. RNAcentral's name for it is "bacterial SSU rRNA". It matches the Rfam family "Bacterial small subunit ribosomal RNA", at positions 71 to 902 of the family's 1533-position model. Lineage: Bacteria; Pseudomonadati; Bacteroidota. The record is from RNAcentral.
UUUCCGUAGCAAUACGGAGAUGGCGCACGGCGCACGGGUGCGUAACACGUGGGUAAUCUGCCCUCUGAUGGGGAAUAACUCGCCGAAAGGCGAGCUAAUUCCGCAUAACAUUCCAUGGACUCCGGUUCGAGGAUUCAAAGGCGUAAGUCGUCGGAGGUGGAGCCCGCGCACGAUUAGCUAGUUGGUAGGGUAAUGGCCUACCAAGGCUAUGAUCGUUAGCUGGUCUGAGAGGAUGGCCAGCCACACUGGAACUGAGACACGGUCCAGACUCCUACGGGAGGCAGCAGUGGGGAAUCUUGCACAAUGGGCGAAAGCCUGAUGCAGCGACGCCGCGUGGGGGAUGAAGCUUCUCGGAGUGUAAACCCCUUUCGACCGGGACGAAUACCUCGCAAGAGGGGUGACGGUACCGGUAUAAGAAGCCCCGGCUAACUACGUGCCAGCAGCCGCGGUAAGACGUAGGGGGCCAGCGUUGCUCGGAAUUACUGGGUGUAAAGGGUUCGUAGGCGGUGUGGCAAGUCGGGAGUGAAAUCUCUGGGCUCAACUCAGGGGCUGCUUCCGGAACUGCCGUGCUAGAGUGUGGGAGAGGCGCGUGGAAUUGCAGGUGUAGCGGUGAAAUGCGUAGAUAUCUGCAGGAACACCCGUGGCGAAAGCGGCGCGCUGGACCACUACUGACGCUGAGGAACGAAAGCUAGGGGAGCAAACAGGAUUAGAUACCCUGGUAGUCCUAGCCCUAAACGAUCAGGACUUGGGGUGCCACCCGUUCGGGUGUCGUCCCGGAGCUAACGCGUUAAGUCCUGCACCUGGGGAGUACGGUCGCAAGACUGAAACUC